CGUGCCAGCAGCCGCGGUAAUACGUAGGGUGCGAGCGUUAAUCGGAAUUACUGGGCGUAAAGCGUGCGCAGGCGGUUAUGUAAGACAGAUGUGAAAUCCCCGGGCUCAACCUGGGAACUGCAUUUGUGACUGUAUGGCUAGAGUACGGUAGAGGGGGAUGGAAUUCCGCGUGUAGCAGUGAAAUGCGUAGAUAUGCGGAGGAACACCGAUGGCGAAGGCAAUCCCCUGGACCUGUACUGACGCUCAUGCACGAAAGCGUGGGGAGCAAACAGGAUUAGAUACCCUGGUAGUCCACGCCGUAAACGAUGA
Molecule: ribosomal RNA, 309 nt
Filed under: uncultured bacterium
Lineage: Bacteria
Description: bacterial SSU rRNA
Rfam family: Bacterial small subunit ribosomal RNA
Source: RNAcentral